This 458-nucleotide ribosomal RNA is filed under the name uncultured bacterium. RNAcentral's name for it is "partial 16S ribosomal RNA". It matches the Rfam family "Bacterial small subunit ribosomal RNA", at positions 338 to 795 of the family's 1533-position model. The record is from RNAcentral.
CCUACGGGAGGCAGCAGUGAGGAAUAUUGGUCAAUGGGCGAGAGCCUGAACCAGCCAAGUCGCGUGAGGGAGUACUGCCCUAUGGGUUGUAAACCUCUUUUGUCGGGGAGCAAAAGCCGGACGUGUUCGGCUGUGAGAGUACCCGAAGUAAAAGCAACGGCUAACUCCGUGCCAGCAGCCGCGGUAAUACGGGGGAUGCGAGCGUUAUCCGGUUUUAUUGGGGUAAAGGGCUGCUCAGGGGGAUUUUCAAGUAAGCGGUCAAAUCGUGGGGCUAAACCCCAUUCAGCCGUUGAAACUGGGGAUCUAGAGUGUGCGAGAGGUAGGCGGAAUGCGUAGUGUAGCGGUGAAAUGCAUAGAUAUCACGCAGAACCCCGAUUGCGAAGGCAGCAUACCGGUGCACAACUGACGGUCAGGCGCGAAAGCGUGGGUAUCGAACAGGAUUAGAUACCCGAGUAGUC